This 387-nucleotide ribosomal RNA is filed under the name Montipora circumvallata. RNAcentral's name for it is "partial 16S ribosomal RNA". It matches the Rfam family "Bacterial large subunit ribosomal RNA", at positions 1981 to 2408 of the family's 2925-position model. The record is from RNAcentral. Lineage: Eukaryota; Metazoa; Cnidaria; Anthozoa; Scleractinia; Acroporidae.
UUUUGACCGGUAUGAAUGGUGUCACGAGGGUCUCACUGUCUUAAGGAAAUCUCCAGUGAAAUUGAAUUUGUAGUGAAGAUGCUACAUCCAAAUUGUUAGACGAGAAGACCCCAUGGAACUUUACUGGAAACUUAUGUCGCUGACUUAAAUAGUUUUAAAAUGUGGUGCGGAUUAAUUAGGUUAAAAAGCUCACUUUUUUAUUUGAAGAAAGGCAACUCAAAAACUUAUGUCUUUGGGAUUUGGUAAGUGGGACAGUUUGGUUGGGGCGAUCGCCUUUAAAAAAGUAACGAAGUCGGGCUGGAGAUAUAUAUUUAGUUAUGUCUGACUGCCAGGGGAAACCUAGAACAGACACGAUCUUUGGAUGUGGCUAAUAACCCGGGUUAGGUG